Molecule: ribosomal RNA, 758 nt
Filed under: uncultured Bacillota bacterium
Lineage: Bacteria; Bacillati; Bacillota
Description: bacterial SSU rRNA
Rfam family: Bacterial small subunit ribosomal RNA
Source: RNAcentral
GACGAACGCUGGCGGCGUGCCUAAUACAUGCAAGUCGAGCGCGGGAAGCAAACAAUCACCUUCGGGUGAGCGUUUGUGGAACGAGCGGCGGACGGGUGAGUAACACGUGGGCAACCUGCCUGUAAGAUUGGGAUAACUUGCGGAAACGUGAGCUAAUACCGGAUAAUGAUUUCUGCCGCAUGGCAGGAAUCUGAAAGACGGCGCAAGCUGUCACUUACAGAUGGGCCCGCGGCGCAUUAGCUAGUUGGUGGGGUAACGGCCUACCAAGGCGACGAUGCGUAGCCGACCUGAGAGGGUGAUCGGCCACACUGGGACUGAGACACGGCCCAGACUCCUACGGGAGGCAGCAGUAGGGAAUCUUCCGCAAUGGACGAAAGUCUGACGGAGCAACGCCGCGUGAGCGAAGAAGGUCUUCGGAUCGUAAAGCUCUGUUGUCAGGGAAGAACAAGUACGAGAGUAACUGCUCGUACCUUGACGGUACCUGACCAGAAAGCCACGGCUAACUACGUGCCAGCAGCCGCGGUAAUACGUAGGUGGCAAGCGUUGUCCGGAAUUAUUGGGCGUAAAGCGCGCGCAGGCGGUCCUUUAAGUCUGAUGUGAAAGCCCGCGGCUUAACCGCGGAGGGUCAUUGGAAACUGGAGGACUUGAGUGCAGAAGAGGAGAGUGGAAUUCCACGUGUAGCGGUGAAAUGCGUAGAGAUGUGGAGGAACACCAGUGGCGAAGGCGACUCUCUGGUCUGUAACUGACGCUGAGGCGCG